Molecule: ribosomal RNA, 390 nt
Filed under: uncultured Streptomyces sp.
Lineage: Bacteria; Bacillati; Actinomycetota; Actinomycetes; Kitasatosporales; Streptomycetaceae
Description: bacterial SSU rRNA
Rfam family: Bacterial small subunit ribosomal RNA
Source: RNAcentral
GGAAAGCAUCAGAGAUGAUGCCCCCCUUGUGGUCGGUGUACAGGUGGUGCAUGGCUGUCGUCAGCUCGUGUCGUGAGAUGUUGGGUUAAGUCCCGCAACGAGCGCAACCCUUGUUCUGUGUUGCCAGCAUGCCCUUCGGGGUGAUGGGGACUCACAGGAGACUGCCGGGGUCAACUCGGAGGAAGGUGGGGACGACGUCAAGUCAUCAUGCCCCUUAUGUCUUGGGCUGCACACGUGCUACAAUGGCCGGUACAAUGAGCUGCGAUGCCGCGAGGCGGAGCGAAUCUCAAAAAGCCGGUCUCAGUUCGGAUUGGGGUCUGCAACUCGACCCCAUGAAGUCGGAGUUGCUAGUAAUCGCAGAUCAGCAUUGCUGCGGNGAAUACGUUCCCG